Molecule: ribosomal RNA, 253 nt
Filed under: uncultured bacterium
Lineage: Bacteria
Description: partial 16S ribosomal RNA
Rfam family: Bacterial small subunit ribosomal RNA
Source: RNAcentral
UACAGAGGGUGCGAGCGUUAAUCGGAAUCACUGGGCUUAAAGGGUGCGUAGGCGGAUGCAUAGGCGCUUUGUGAAAUCCCACGGCUCAACCGUGGAAUUGCUUGGCGAACCAUGCGUCUUGAGGUUGGUAGAGGUCACUGGAACGAUAGGUGGAGCGGUGAAAUGCGUAGAUAUCUAUCGGAACGCCAAAGGUGAAGACAGGUGACUGGGCCAAAUCUGACGCUGAGGCACGAAAGCGUGGGGAGCAAACGGG